Molecule: long non-coding RNA, 931 nt
Organism: Peromyscus maniculatus bairdii (prairie deer mouse)
Lineage: Eukaryota; Metazoa; Chordata; Mammalia; Rodentia; Cricetidae
Source: RefSeq, a predicted model, not a curated record
GUCACUUCCGCUUUGUUCCGACCACAGUAGUCGAAAGGAACAACGGACCGGAGGAAAGGUACACCCAGAGGAGGCGUCUCCUAGGUGACGCCCGGAGGUGUCUCCCGGGUGAUUCCAGAUCCAGUCAAGACGACAGUGAAGGUGAAACAUCAUUUUCACCGUGUGGUGACGGAGCCAGGAGGCCCCCCCUGGAGGGAAGCAGUUGCUGGUGUCAUGCUCUUGCACCUCCAAAGGAGUCUAAACUCCAUGGUAACAUCGUUCAAGGCGCUUCUUCAGCAUCCACUUCCACAUUGGACUAUAAGCAGCAUGCGAGGAACAUCUGACAUUCAUCCUGAUUUGCCCAGGCCUGAACAAAGUGAUGGAAUACCGGUACUGACACUCUUCUGAUCCCGCAUCUGCGGACAGGGGCUCUCAGUGAGCGAUCCCCAACUAUCCCAUUGCUGUCCCUGAGAAGUAGAGGAAAUGGAGACCUUCCCCUGUGCUCAUGAAAUAAGUAAUGCAGUACGUUUUUCCACAGUUUUGUCUUCUCUCCAGUUAAGCUCUUUGACCUGGGUCCUCAUAAACUAAUUGAUCUUCCAUUUUAGCAAAGAAGUGCUAAUCCAAUAUUAGUAAUAAAAAUUUUUUUUUGAAAAUAGCUAAGCACAUACAAUUUGAGACGUAGGUUUCCUCUCUGCAUGUGUGUGGACCCGUGUCUGUAAUAUAUUUUUACUGUAGGGUUUCUAUGUCGCACAGACUUGUCCCACACAUAUGGCUUGAAGCCACAGUCCCAGCUCUGCCUCCCAAGAAGCUGCCAUGCCCAGAUUGCGAUGUAUUUUGAAUGUUACGUAUAGGGGGCUGGAGUGACGGUGACUCAGCAGUUAGCAUUGGCUGUCGCUUCCCGAGGACCCAGGCUCAUCCCAGCACCCAAAUGACAGUUCAAAACGAUCUAUAA